Long non-coding RNA from Nymphaea colorata (pocket water lily), 424 nucleotides. RefSeq lists it as uncharacterized. NCBI's taxonomy places the organism in Eukaryota, Viridiplantae, Streptophyta, Magnoliopsida, Nymphaeales, Nymphaeaceae. The transcript is spliced from 3 exons. The record is from RefSeq and is a predicted model, not a curated record.
AGGCCGGAGGCAGAGUGACAGAGUCUAGCAGAUUCGCAGAGCCGCUGUCUGCGCCGCAGAGACAGGGAGAGUGAGAGUUGGAAAGACCGUGUGCCCGCCACCGUUUCCACAGUCCAUACCUGAUACCCAGCCAGUCUCCGGCACCGUCACUGUCUCCGCUCCACCACUGGGCCACCGAUCUUGCCUCUUGGAUAGUUGGAUGCUGUUGGAUCUCGUCAAUGCACUGUAAAUUUCGUUCUGCAGAUGCAAUGGAAGGGGCAGGGUUUCCAUGGUAGCCAGAGAAUUGUGGAACAUAACCUGGGAAUUCUUCUGGUGAGAGUUUUUUUAUGGGUUUAACUCCCUGUAGCAUCAUCUUUGACUAGGAUUAUUUCACUUCUAUGAUUUCUUGGCUGUUCUUCUUGUUGUAGCUUAAUUGUUUUCUAUG